UUUUUUGGGAAUAAAGUUGGGUGGAAUAUAGUAAGUUAGUAAGCAUUAAAAGACGUGAAAUGGAACAUGAACAUAUUGGUACAUGCAUAUUACUUUACCGAACCAAUUAAAUCCACAUUCUAUUAAGUAUCAAGAUUGGAUGGACCUAUUAUCGCUGACAUUCUGACAAAGAUGUAAAGAGAAAAAGGGUUAUAGGCUGCCUAUGUGCCUGUUCACCCAGUCUAACUAGCAAACUCUUAUAGUUUGACCAAGUAAAUAUCACUGUGCAACAUAUUUUCUCAACAAAUAAUAAUUCAGCUUUGUAACUGUAAAAAUAUUAAUGCUUUUGUUUAUGCUUUUAUAGUAACAUAAAUAAUCUCUGCAAGUAUCAUUUGUAGUGUUACAUCCAUAACUCCUAUUUAAUGUAUAAACUGAACGUCCUUUUAAAAUGUGGUUAUCCCCGUCCUAAUUUAAUAUAUACUUAGUUUUUCCUAUUCUAGUAUAAGAAUACCUAUAUACAAAUCUUUAACUUCAAGAUACUUAUUUUUCUUUGAUUAUAACUAUCAUGAAAUGUAGUUAAAACAGUUCUUAUAAUCAUCCCCAUAAACAAAAGCUCGAUUAUGCCUAUGAUUUUUAUGAUGCUGUUAUAGUAUCUUCGCCCUUUGUCCCCCGGAAAUUGAUAGAUAAAUUUUGAUCUGUCAUUUGUUCCCUGACCUACUCACCCUCUUCUCUCAUCUUCACGACCUAACUUGAGAAGAAAUUAAUUAUUUCAUUAUUAUUGUUCACUUCUUGCAAGAGCCAAACUCUGAAUCUAUCGAAGAGGAUGUUUUUCUGCGUAUGCUUGUGUAAGUGGUACUCAUACAUCAGUUAUUCUUCCAGGAGUAUAUUUAACAUAGUUGAUGAUGACCCUACCCCAAGAGAAGAAGUUUUUAUGUAUGGCCAAAGUUUGGUUGAGAAAAAAUGGCCGGGUCACACAAGACAAUUAGCCUCUCAUGAAAGGGUAGAAUUAUCAUAUUCUAAGGUGAAUGUAAGAGGUGACAAAAGAGUAUCGAAUGCUCGUAUGAAGAAAGAACUAGGAGUGCAGCUGCAACAUCCUAGUUAUAGGUCUGGAUUGCAAAGUAUUCUUGAGCAUCUGGACCCUUCCAUGAACACCCCCGGGUAAUGUUGCAGAAUCUAAAUGUCUUCGAUUGAUCCAAGACGAUACUAUUUACAGGUAACACAUACAUUUUAGUAAGAAUUUAGUAUCUCCUCUCCAGAUUUGGAGACAGACUCCGACUUUUCAAGUUAGUUUGUGUUGUUGAACAGUUAUCCUAUUAAUUCAAGGUUUGAAAUUAUGUAAUAAUAAAUACUUCUACACUUCUACCAAGAUGAUACAUUAACGAAUCAUAUGUUAGCAAAUGCGAAUUUGGUAACAUAUUCCUAACAUAGAACAAUGAAAAAAUCCUAGACGGGUUUAGACAAUAUAUCUGUCAAAUCCUAAUACCUAUCUGGAUAAGGAAAAUCCAAAUCCCAGUCAACUUUUUACCUUAACAAGAGCAACAUAUUGGAUGAUACUAAUAAUUUUAUUCUGAUUUUUGCUACCCAAUCUAAAUUACUGCUUUAUCAUAUUUCUCCUGUUAAUACUAAUAUGAUAAUGACAAGACGAACUUCUAAUUCUUUUUUCUCAUCAUUAAUACAUGCUUUAAUUUGUUUGCCUGGGAGGAAUUAUCUGGUAGAGGACCUUGUUUUGGAUUUGUGAAAUUUAUCCCAAAAUUAAAAUAAUUUAAAUGAUCACCUUUUUCCCCUUUUGCAGGAAAAGAAGUCCUUUUGUGGAUCCCCUGAUGAGUUUGAAAUAUCAAUCAGGCACGUGCUCUCAUGGAAUAUACGAUCAGUUUCACAAAGAAAUGCAUCUCAUGAUUAUCCGUUUAUACAACAAAAUGGUAGAACUUUUAAUAACAGCGAUGUUAGCAAUCAAAAUAAGGAACUGAGGAAAACAGCAUUGAUUUUCCAUCAGAUGACGAUAUUUAUAACCUGAUUCUGGAAACUUUUGUUUCAAACCUGUAUGCAAGCCUAAUAUAACACCACCCUCAAAGUGCAUACAUUUUACAGAGAGAAACAAGUCAUGUAUUUAACUCUUCAGCUCUGCCUGGAUGCAUAAACUCAGCAACUAUCCCUCUAGUUACAAAGGUACAAAAUCCAGCUCCAUGUCUCAAUUUAGACCUAUAUCAUGUUGUCACACUCUUUACAAGUGUAUCUCUAAGCUUUUGGCGGGUCUUAUGAAAAAUGUAAUGAUUAGCAUUAUCUCAUCCUGUCAAGCUGCUUUAAUUCCAUGCAGAAAGAUCGGGAAUAAUAUUUGGGAGCUGAUAAAUGCACACCCUCGUUUUUUAGCGAUGUUGAGAUCAAAUUACUCCUCAUGCACAUCUUAAUCUUUAAAGUAUCUUUAUGCAUUGCAGGGUAUUUUGGUCUCAAUGCCAGCACCUUAAUUUAGAGAAUUUAGAGGGGUGUAUUGGAUUGGGAUUUUAAAACAUUUUUUUGCAUUCAUGAAAUCCGAGGAUAUUCGAUUGGGAUUGUUUGAAAGCCAUUAAAAUUUUGAGGUAUUCAAUUGGGAUUUUAAAUUAUGCUACAAAAUCUGGUGAUAUUCAAUUGGGAUUUUAAAUUAUGCUUUAAAAUUCGAUGGUAUUCAAUGGUAUUGUUUAAAAUCCAUUAAAAUCUGAUGGUAUUCAAAUGUUGAUGGAUUUUUUUGCAUUUUAUAAAAUGAUGGAUUUUGUGGCAUUUUUCAGUGUAUUUUAAGUUUUUUGAAAUUCCAUCAAAAUCAAUGGGAUUUUGAAGCAUUGUGCUUAAAUCCUAUCAAGUCUGCGACGUUUUGUCAAGAAUCCACGCAAAAUCAAGAUCGCAUACAAUCCAUUAAAAUCUCUAUAGAUAAAAAAACGAUCCAUUAAAAUUCCAAUCGAAUACACCCCCGUUAAUCAAUUAUGGGGCCAAAAUCAAAUAUUUUCAAUUACCUCUCUUUUUCCUGAAUUUUGUUAUUAUGGCCCAAAUAAUAUUACAUAACUAAAUUACGUGUAAUUUCGUUGUUGUGGUCCUUGUGGAUGAGGGACCAGAUGUCCAUGCAUAUUUAGAAACUUGAUUGAUAAAAAAACGACAAGGCAGGCCAAGUAGUGUAGAAUUACGUGCUUUCUGUUUAUGAGGAAAACCAACACCGCACCAGCUUUAUCCGCUUUUUCAACAGGCCUUCUCAGUUCUCACUGUUUUUUCCUAUCUGUUGAACAAGUGAACAAUUUUGUUUUUUCGUUAUUAUUCUCUCCAUUUAACUUAUACGCAUUCUCGGAGCCCCAUUUAUAUCGUAACUUUAAACUGGUUUUACCUUUUUUCUUUUCUAAAUUCGUAUUUUACGCUCGUGAAAUUAUUUGUUCUAAUGCUUUUAGAACUGAGCCAGAGUCGAAACCAAGUAUCCCGAGACAAUAAAGGAUAAAUAUCGAAAUCAAGUAUCCCGAGACAAUAAAGAAUAAAUCUAUCACUGGUUUAUCCAAUCGUGUUCGUGAAAUUGUUAUUAUCGUCCGAAUAGCAAGUAUUGCAUCAUGUAAUUACGUGUAUUAUCGUCGUUGUGGAUGACAGACGAGAUGUACAUGCAUAUCUGGAAUCUUGAUUGAUCGAAAAACGACAGGUCAGAGCAAGUAGAAUUACGUGCUUUCGGUUUGUGUGGAAAACCAGCAUCGCUCGCAACAGCUAUAUGACUAUGUGGGUGUUUGGCUAGCCAAAUUAAGCACUUCUUUUUAUUAUAAGCUGGCUUAUACUUUUUGUGGUGUGUUUGGGUGCAGAAGUCCACAUGACUUCUUUGCUGAUUUAAGUUAAGAAUCGAGAAGUUAGAAAGUGUAGCUUCUUCCUCUAACUUAUUUUUUGCAAGUCUCCACUACAUUGUAAAUUAACUAGCAUGUGAUGUUUUAAAUUUAUAUUUAAAUAAAUUAAAUGUAAUUUAAAUUUCAUAUGUUAAAUUUAUACUUAUAGAAAUUAGUUUUUAUUUAAAUUUAUAAUUUAAAUUAUUAAACACUCUACCAACUUAUAAGUUAAAUUAUCCAAACACUUUAAACACUUAUAAUAUCUUUACAACUUAUUACUUAUAAUUCACUUCUCAACUUUAAGCAAUAAGUAACUUCUUUUAAGUUCCGCCAAACAUCCCCUAUAUCUCGUUUUGUACAGGGCCUAUUGUCUACGAGUAUAGUUGGAAAAAUAGGAAAUCGGAAUCAAUUAAUAAAAGUGGGGAUUAAUUAGAUAACAAUCAGAUAAUUCAUAUAAUAAUAUUUAAAAUAAUAAUUUUAAUAAUACGGUUGAAAUAUUCAAAAAUAUGUGUCAAAAAAUACACCGUAUGUUUUAAAAUGGAGAUAAUAUAAUUAUCACAGAAUAGUAUUUCAACUACUCAUUUAUUUAUUCACCAAUCAGGUUCGACAAUUUUUUAUCAAAUUAUCUGAACGUGUGACUACUGAGUUAUAUAUCAUUUUCGGUAAAAUUAAUUCUAUUAUUUUAAUAGGAAGAAUUGAAAUGUAAAAUGCGGGAGUAGAGGAAUUAUAUAAUUUAAUUUUAUAAAUAUUACUAUUAUUGUUACCGGAUAAUUAUCAUGCAAGUGUGACAUGGAGGGGAUAUACAUGGAGCUGUAAAGGUGUGGCACCAUGCUAUUGGAAAUCGAAAACUACACUUUGUCCAUUAUAUAUGUCGGUUAGCUCAAUCACAUAUAUCAAUUUAAUAUUGACAAGUUGUUGAGCUUGCACCUAGUGGUGCUUGGAUUUUUUUUGGAAAAUAAUAUUAUCUUGUUUUCGAUUAUAAUAAAAUACACAUAAUUUAUUAUCAUAUUAAAUUGAUAUAUUUUAUUUAUAAUAGUCUAAAUAUUAAUAAUAUAUUAUUUUUAAAUUAUAACCAACCAAUAUAGUCGAUAAUACCAUUAAAACAAUAUGUAUUACAAGUUCAUCAAAUUUUACGUAAAGUCUUGCAUGUCCAAUUUAAUCGACGAUUAAACUAACUUCGUUGGAGAUGUUCUUAACGUGACAAAAAUUAAUGCUCACAAUCCAUCCGUUUCUAAUUAAUCGUCAUUUGUUGAUUUGUAAUGAAUUAAUUGACUAUAAUACCCUAAAAAUGUUUUAUUAUCAUAUAAAUAGUUAAAAAUAAAUUAUUUUCACAUAUUUUCUUUAAAUUUUAGUUUAAUAAUUUAAAUUGUCGAGUGGAUGAGUAAGUACGGAAGCUAGGAGUCGAAAACGCAUUUAAUGCGGUCUACAAGUACUACGUUGGGCAAUUAUGCCACGAAGAGGACGUGCAACAAGGGAAAGAUGACACGUGUCCUUGGAAAUAUACUCUCUGCAGUAUCGAGAUGCCGCUUCUUGUCCACCUCAUCAUUAUCAUCGCUAUCUUCAUACAUUACCUUAGUCAACUUAUGGCCAUUUUUUUUCUCUAUUUAAUACAGUAACUAUACUCAACUUCGAGAUUAUUAUAUCCAGGAUUCCUUCCUUUCAUGUUUUGCCCUCAACUUUGGUUUUUGAACAGUUUUAGUCCAUUUGCAAGCAUAACUAUAAUUCAAAAUAUAUUAUUUAAAGACGAAUAUUCACAUUUACCCGCUCGCAUUAGAACUUAUUUUAAUUUUUUGGAAAUGAUUCAAUCAAAUAUAGUGCAGGAUUAUAUUUAGAAAAAAAUAUGGAUUCAAUUAUAUUUUGAUCCAAUAUUAUUUUAAAUAAUUUAUUAAAAAUGAUAUUCAACGUUAAUGAAUGACAUCAGACUACUCCAUGAAAAAAUCACACGAAUUCAAAAUCAAAAUUAAUGGGAACCAUCAUAGCUCCUCUCUUAUUGAUUAAGAAAAUUCAUACAUCUAUAUAAAAAAAUGAUAUCAGAUCUAUAUUCAAAUUCAAUAAAUUUAAAUUAUAAGAUGAUUUAGUGAUCAAUUAUAUUGCAUGGGUCGCAUUGCGUAAGCCUAGAUAUUAUAAAAGGUAAGUACUGCAAACUAACAUCUAUGAUUAAAUGUCUCACAUAAAAUUUAUCAUCGUCAAAAUUAUAUCGACAUCAAUCUUUUUCUAUCGUAUCUAACACGUACAUAACACUUCUAUGAUUAAACAGUUAAUUGUAAAAUCUAGUCUCGUUUUUAAAAGUGAUUUCAGAUUUUUUUAUACUCUCAAGUCUUAACAUGUUCCUAUCGAUUAUGAACCUGGAUCACUUUAGCAACCAAGUUCAUAUCGUCCCUUACAUUUCAUAUAACCCUGACACAACAUGAUCACAUGUACAUGCAUUGAAGUACACCAGACAGUGCCCCUCAAAUCACAAAGAAAAUAUAUACGAAAAUGAAACUCUGUCCCUUGAUAGCAUGAACUUGGCCGUAGUAUGAUACAUUGUUCAUUGAUCUCAUGCUCCUUAUUCACAAGAAAAUCAACAACCUCCAAGUACUAACAAAUAAAGCAUAUCAGAUAAAAACAACAGUGCACGAGGCAUAUAAUGUGAACAAUAUGCAUGGUACUUGUGAUGAGUGGCAGGACUGUAAUUUCAAAGAUAACGGGAUUAAUUAAAAUCACACAUAUGCAUAUGGAAAAACUGUUACGAUUAUUAGCGUCAUUUAGACUUUAGCUUCUGAGUGACCUCCUUAUUUUGUUUUCUGUGUUAUCAUAACAAUCACAACAACAAACUGGGGCAUAUAUUUACAGUGUUCUUUUUACCGUGGUUAAACAAUAGUAAAAGAAGUGACGUAAAAUGUCGACAUUUCACAUGUAGUAUAUUAUAGGGGAUAUGCUUUAAUUCCUUAUUUAAAAGACUCUGGUACCAAAGUACUUGCAUAUUCAGUUUAAUAUUUUGCAACAAAAAACAUUCAGAGAGAGAGAGAGAGAGAGAUGAAGAAUCCAUUGUUAUCUGUAGUGUUAAAGAACUCUGAUGUGGCGUCCUCGACUUCGUAUUGUGUGAAGGAGAGAAGGCCUUGUGUUGGAUGGGUUGAUAAAUAUUUUAAAGAUUGUUUGUGUGACACUAGAGACAAGCUUUCGUUUGCUUCUGGUAUGUUGAGUUUAAUCAGCUGGGGAGUUGCUGAAAUCCCUCAGAUUAUCACCAACUUUCGGUCUAAAUCCAGCCAUGGUGUCUCCCUUUUGUUUCUCCUCACUUGGGUUCUUGGGUAACUCUCUCUCUCUCUCUCUCCCCCUCUCUCUCUCCCUCUCUCUCUCUCUCUCUGACUCUCCCUCCCUCUCUCUCUCUCUCUCUCUCUCUCUCUCUCUCCCUCUCUCUCUCCCUCUCCCUCUCUCUCUCUCUCUCUCUCUCUGACUCUCUCCCUCUCUCUCUCCCUCUCUCUCUCUCUUACCCCCCUCUCUCCCAUACACACGUAGCGAAUAAUGAAUUUUCUUGAUUUUUAUGUUAUUAAUUUUCUUGAAAUAUUUAUGGUGCAGUGAUAUCUUUAAUCUGAUCGGGUGUCUUCUUGAACCUGUAACGGUGAGUAUAAUUCACUAUAGUUGUAUAAUUUCCUUCCCUUUUUUGUCACACAUGUAUUUACAUAUGUUUCCAUGUAUAUUAAAUAAUAACGAUAUCACUGAUUAAUCAUUCUGAUCACACUUUUUUAUUAAUGAUGCAGCUCCCAACCCAGUACUACACUGCCCUGGUAUGAAUCCCACUUGUUUCCACAUUUGCUAUUGCAAUUUACUUUAGUAAUAUUUCAAGCAAAAAAUUGAUUUAAUCAGAUUAAAUAGAGGAUAAAUUAGCAUUUUGGUCAGGUUUAAGAGUUGCUUAUGUUCGAAAAAUAGCUAAAAUGUACUUCUAAUGACAAAAUUUGAUCAUGGUACGAAAAAAAUUAGCCAAACGGGUUUGUUCAAUUCGGCUCGUUUUAAGUUUUGAUGAAAGUGCAUGUUCGGUUUAUAAUUGUGAUGAUAUUGUUGAUUGAACAGCUCUAUACAACAAGUACGGUGAUAUUAGUGCUGCAGUGCCUGUACUAUGAUCAUGUUUAUAGUUGGUGGAAAAGCAAAAAAGUGGAUGCUAAUCAACCGGUGCAAAUUUCUCUCCACUCUUCUAGCAUUUCGAUCAGAAUGGUCUUUGUCGUGUUGGUUUUACUUGUCGAUAACAUAAAUUUUAUAUGCUUGACAGAUUGAAGAUGUGAAGAAACCUCUAAAACCAGCAAAGGAAAAUGAUGACGAUGACUCUGCAAUUCCAGCUACUGAUGAAGGCAAAAUCAACAGUAACUUCUAUUUCACGUAUGUGGGAGUUUUAGAUUUUUUUUAAAUGGUGUGCGGAAUGCUGAUUGUUUUUUACUUUUUAGUCUUGAAAAUAUAUAUUUGUUUGUUUUUGUACUAAAGUUCCUAUCUCUAUGAUUUUCAUCUAUUAAUAGAGACUCUGGAUAAUGAAAUUGCAGAUCAGCACGUUCUUUGGCGGGCAGUGCUACACCACCUAAUCGGUCUUAUCUAUGGACUGCAAGAAGUGGUCCUUCAGCAUUGACACUUGACGGGGACUCAUCUUCUGAUGAUGAGGUGGAUGCUGCUGUAAUGACGAACAAGAAAUCCAAAACCCAACCAAAGCCAAUCCCGCGUUCUGUGAGUUAUUACAUUCUAGUUACAACUAGUUGGACUUAUUAUGUAUGUGCCUUGUAAUAUGAUUAAGAAACGUGUUUUUUUAUUCAGACGUUUAAUGCCAGGUUAAGAAAUGUAGCAUUUAAUAGAUAUAGCAUUAAUAUAUCUAAAGCGGAUUUGCAAACAUACUGUGUGUGUAUGAGGAUGAUUAUCGAUGCAUAUACCUAUUUGCACAGUUAUAUAUAUUUCAUAAGUACUAAUACAACGUAUCAUGUUUUACCAGGCUGGUUAUGGUGCAUUUCUAGCUACUUCACUCAACCUGCCAAGAAGCACCAAAGCUCUACUCCAAGCUUCCGUAGCAUUUAGUGGGAGGAAACUCUUACAAGUAAGACGACAAUCAACAUUUAUUUCAAUAGUAGGCAUACUUUUUCAAUGAAUUGCGUUUGAAUGAUAAUGAUUAAUGUAUAUCAUUUGACAAAUUAUCUGAGCAGGGGAAUGCAGAUACAGAAAAAUUUGUGGUCGGCCAGUGCUUAGGUUGGAUGAUGGCUGCUGUGUACAUGGGUGGCCGAAUCCCUCAAAUUUACUUAAAUGUGAGUGCCUAAACAAUCCACAGUUUACAGCUGAAUACACAACUUUCUUCAUUCAAGCAAUUGUACUUCUAUAAUUACUUCUACAUUGCCUUGCCUGACAUUUAUAUAUUGGAUUCAUUUUUCAGAUUAAAAGAGGAAGCGUUGAGGUAAAAAACUUAACCCGCGAACAUGAAAUAUCAUAUACAUCAAAACCGACUUGUAGCUGAUCUAUAUAUGAUCAAUGACGACGAUUUAAAGCUUUCAACUUAAUCUUCUUUAUACCUGACAUGUAGGGACUGAAUCCUCUCAUGUUUAUCUUUGCACUCAUUGCCAAUGUCGCUUAUGUGGGAAGGUGCAUAUCUUAUAUAUAUAUGUUCAUUCUCUUUUCAGAAUCGUUGCUUCACUUUUAGUGGCACUCACUAUUACUUUGCCUGUAAUUGAUUUCAGCAUUCUCAUACGAAGCACGGAAUGGGAUAAAAUAAAGGCCAAUAUGCCAUGGUUGUUGGAUGCAGUAGUCUGCGUUGGACUCGACUUAUUUGUAUCCUCUUCUAAUUCUUAUAAUAUUUACUUAUACUCGAAACUUUAUGCAUUCAUAUUCCCCACCCACACACAACAGAUAUUUCUGACAAACAUUCAUUCUCUAUGACAUCUGCUACUAUUACUACUUGCAGGCCUUUAUUACCCGAAUAAAUUUCUAUCACUGUUUUUCGUCUUUUUGAUGUUUUGUCUCAACUUCGAAAUAACUGCAUUCAUCUUAUGCCUCAGACAUGAUGCAUAUGACAAGUUGUGUUCACCUUAACAUAGAUUACCACAGAUAAUAUUACAGUACAUCUACUACAGAUACCUCGGGAAGCGGACUGCUGGUGGGAGAGGACAAGAUGAUGACUAUUCGGAGAGCCCAUGAAACAAUGAUGCAGAAUGUUCCUGGCUCUCCAUUGCUUGCUGAUGAAGGCUACAGAGAUGAGAAAUCGCAUGAAUAAAUUAGUUUGUCUGGUGUAGCAGCUUUAAACUAGUUAGAGUAUGUAGUAUCAUGACUAUAUAGAACUUUGAGCAAGCCUAUAUUUCGUAUGAAUUAAUCAUGUAGAUGAAUCUGUAAUCGAGCUGAGUCGAGUCGAGUGAAGCUAUAAUUUGAAAAUAGUACAAUAGUUGCAUUGCAAAAUCGUACAAGGUUUUUUCACCCAGACACUUUCUGGAUCCCAUAGCAUCUCAAGCUUUAGAUCAUUUGCCUCUUUAAGUUCUUUCUUUUUCGUCAAUUUCGCAAGGGUCUUUCUGGUACGUGCAAACUAUUUUUUUAGAUAGAAGAUUUUAUUAGUAUCUAUCUCUAUUAACGAGACAGACCUUUGUACCAAGUUGGUUUCAAAAAAGAAAAAUAAAUCUGAAGCCCUACAGGAUUCUUCCGGACCAACAGCAGCACCAAGAAUAUCAUGUUAUAGGCCCAAAUACGAGGCUUAUGUGAUUUUCGGCCCCAUUUGUCUUAACAAAUUUAAGCUUUCUUCAAAUAAUUAGUAUUGACACAAUAAGUAUACUAAUUUUGUAUGUCAAACGCUAGCAAAUAAUUCAUAUUUAACUGUAAAUUAAAAUAAAAGGUAAGAAUUAUCCGGAAAAGGUCAUAAAUUUUACUUUCAAACUUUUAAAUUUAACUUGUGAAACUACUAUAGUGAUGAAAUAUGCAAGAUUUAUGAUGGAAAACAUGUUUCUUGUACUCUUUUCUUGAUAUUCAACAUAUCUAUACAAUCUAUAUACAUUAUUAAAUUUAAAUAUGUAAAAAUUUGGUCGUAGUCGAGUAAAUUCAACUCUUUAUUCACUUAAAUCAAAUUAGUUAGAGCAUCUCCAAUAACUUCUUUAUAGAAGCUCCUAAAUUGAAAUUCGAAGAGAAUUGUAAUUUUGCUUGUUCCAAUAGAUACCUAAUCACUCUUAAAUUCCUCAAAUUUCUCUUCUCUCUCCUCACUUUUAGGAGCUACUGGUCACUCUUAACUACUCUCUCUAUCCCAUUUUAACUGAUGUUUGACUUUUUGACACGUAUAUUGAGAUGCAAAAAACUUAUAUCUACACUUAAUAAAAAAUUCAAUUUUUAUAUCAAAUUAAAGUUUAGAUUCUAAACUUUUAUUUGAUAUAAAUUUUAUAAAGAAUGAUUAUGUUUAGAUAUGAUUUUUUUAACACCUUAAAAUACGUGUAAAAAAGUCAAAAGCAGUUAAAUGGGACGGAGGGAGUAUUAUUUUAUAAUAAAUUUGUAAGCAAACAUUCUCUCUCCAUCCACUUUCUUUUGUACCUUUAUGCACAUGACUUACUUUUAAUAAUAUAAAAUACGGUCUUUCUAAUGUGUGCCCAAGGGCACACAAUAAGCACCAACUCUCAUGAAAAUGACUUCAUUUGAUUGGUGGAAUUGGUGUAAAUGCAGGGGGGGGUCACCAAUAUUUAUUAUUCAUCUACCAAUCAAAAAUUAGUAUUCACAUGGGAGUUAGUGACUAUUGUGUGCCCAUGGGCACACCAUAGAAAAUUCGUAUAAAAUAAAAUAAAGAGUGAAUAUAAAGAGUGUUGUUGAAGUUGAACCCACAUUAACUCACUAAGAGUCAAUAUUUUAUAUUAUAUUUAGGAGUGAGUUAAGAGACUAUUGGAGAUGCUCUUAGAAACGUUAACGUUAGACCAUAUAUCCGUGGAUAACUAUUCCGUCACAUACUAAAACUAAUAAUAUAUUAUUAUAACAACAAAAUAUGAUACUCCCUCCGUCUCAUUUUAUAAGUCUCUUUUGGGAAAAAAAAAACUUGUCUCUUGCUUUUAGCCACCAUGAAUCAUCAAUUUUGCUUGUUGCCUGCAUAAAUCAUGGCCAGUUUAUUUUGGAAAAGAGUAUGAACACCAGUUAUUUUGACUUUUGAGGUCGGAUUCUCGGUUAAUUUGGUAGCUGUCCUCCCAAUCUUCAGUGACAGAUAGCGACUGAGCAUGAAUCUGGAGAAUUCCUGAAAUGCAGGGCAGUUUAAAAAAACCAUGCAAUUGAGCUCUAAGUCCUCUGAACUUGUUGCAACAUGAGACUUCUUUUUGGUAGCUGGCCUCUCAAUCUUUAGUGACAGAUAGCGACUGAGCGUGUCAUUUACAACCUGAUGCCAAUAACAUUUGUCCACGUGAAUCCGAAGAAUUUCCUGAAAUGCAGCUUUGUUCAGAGGGUCAGGUCUGACAAGUAAUUGUUGUAGCGAUCUACCUGUUAGUAAUUUUUUAUAACGAAAAGACAUCAACCAAAUUUUUAUGUGCAUGAAGGGGAGCCAUUACUCUAACUGCCUUAGAUACCCGGUCUAGACAUGUUGGCAACAAUCACUUACAAUCACUUGUCAGGAUCAUCUCCAUCGUUGAAACAAUAACAGAAUGACACUUGUGGCGGAAUUGAAUGCAUCAAUGCAGAUCUUACCGGUAUGCAUAUAGUGAAAACUGAUCUCUUUGUCAUGUCAGUUUUGUAUUCAGAGCAGAUACAGACAUAUGGGGAGUGAAAGAUGCCUACGGGCAACUUUUUAACUUCAUCACAUUGAAGCGUGAAUAAACGCCCUGCUGGUCCUCAGAUUUUUGAGUACGAAGGUAAGUGAAAUGAAAUUUAUAGAGUUUCGGUCACUAGUUCCAAUUUUAAUAAAUCAAAUAAUGAAAUAUUUAGGUUAUUUUAUUGACGGUUCUUGAAUUGUUUCAAGGGCUAAAAUAUGUGAAACAUACUAGUUAUUUACAAUAUUUAUGGAUGGCUCUCAAAUUUUAAGGAUGAUAACAAUUAAUAAAUGAUUAACUAAAAAGUAUGUGCAAGAGAUUCCAAUGACUUUAGUUCUAUUGCUAAUAAGAAGUGAAACAUGCAAUUUAUUGUUCGACGCAAUCUUAUCUUAUCAGAGCAUUUUUAAUGAUAUUGAUUAUAAGCGUAAGCUAAAUUGAGAUUAUGAUAUAUUAUAUAAAAUCGGUUGAAUUUUUAAAAUAUUUUACUUAGAUGAUAUUGAUUAUCUUUUCACUUGUUUUUUUCUCUAAAAAGGGCUUUGAGAUCAAAACAAAUAUAAAUGUUAUUAUUUUCUCCAUCUGUCAUCUGAUUUUUUUAUUUAAAGUUUGAGAGUUCGAAUUCGGAAAUCCGGACAACAUAUACCGUGGAGGGUAAAAACGGUAGUGUCGAAAUCCAGCAUCUCGUUAAUUUUAAAUUAAAAUACACAGCAGCAUUUUGGCUACUGUUAAAUCGAAAUAUAAGNACAGACAUAUGGGGAGUGAAAGAUGCCUACGGGCAACUUUUUAACUUCAUCACAUUGAAGCGUGAAUAAACGCCCUGCUGGUCCUCAGAUUUUUGAGUGCGAAGGUAAGUGAAAUAAAAUUUAUAGAGUUUCGGUCACUAGUUCCAAUUUUAAUAAAUCAAAUAAUGAAAUAUUUAGGUUAUUUUAUUGACGGUUCUUGAAUUGUUUCAAGGGCUAAAAUAUGUGAAACAUACUAGUUAUUUACAAUAUUUAUGGAUGGCUCUCAAAUUUUAAGGAUGAUAAUAAUUAAUAAAUGAUUAACUAAAAAGUAUGUGCAAGAGAUUCCAAUGACUUUAGUUCUAUUGCUAAUAAGAAGUGAAACAUGCAAUUUAUUGUUCGACGCAAUCUUAUCUUAUCAGAGCAUUUUUAAUGAUAUUGAUUAUAAGCGUAAGCUAAAUUGAGAUUAUGAUAUAUUAUAUAAAAUCGGUUGAAUUUUUAAAAUAUUUUACUUAGAUGAUAUUGAUUAUCUUUUCACUUGUUUUUUUCUCUAAAAAGGGCUUUGAGAUCAAAACAAAUAUAAAUGUUAUUAUUUUCUCCAUCUGUCAUCUGAUUUUUUUAUUUAAAGUUUGAGAGUUCGAAUUCGGAAAUCCGGACAACAUAUACCGUGGAGGGUAAAAACGGUAGUGUCGAAAUCCAGCAUCUCGUUAAUUUUAAAUUAAAAUACACAGCAGCAUUUUGGCUACUGUUAAAUCGAAAUAUAAGAUAUUUAACAUGAGUAGGAGAAUCGAGACCCCGUGAAGCACAUGGGCACAUAAAAUAAAGGAGUGAAUAUAAUCUUCAAAGUUAGAACACCGCACUUGCAGCUUUUUUCAUGUAAAAACGAGAACUUGUCUGCAUCCAUCUCUAAAGCGUAUUCGUAAAUUUGUAGGCGAGCAUAGCUCUGUCACAGCUGAAUAUUUGUGCACAUAAAGAGCCAUCAAUUAUUAAUAUGGUUGUAGUCAAUCAAAAUUUAUACAUAAUUCUGUCAAAAAAAAUAUACAUAAUUAUAAAAUAAUUAUUAAUAUAUGUCUAUGACUAUGAGCAUACAGAAAAUCCGUUAAUUUAAUAACAAGAAAAUUAUGAAAUUAUAAAAAUUGUAAUGGGUAUAUAAUUGUCAUAUGGCAUUGUAUUUCUAUCUAGAAUAAAAAAUAAAAAUUACCGAUGAUUUACAUCAGGAUCCGCAAUAUUCAUGAGUAUGCAAGUAGUGGUAGAUGCCUGUGAAAAAGAAAACAAAGUAGUGGUAGAUGCCAACUUAAUUGAAGCUACCUACCAGCAUCUUAUUCAUGCAUUUAUAUCGGUAGUCUUUAUUUUCUUUCAAAGAAGCGCAUCUCACUAUCCAGUGGCGGAUCUGACUAUGAAGUUAAGGGGGGUCAAUUUUUUUGUAAAAAAAAUUAAAAGGGGUCACAAAAAAAUUAAGGGGGGUCAGUUGCCCCCUCUUGCCCCUUUUAAGAUCCGCCUCUGUCACUAUCGGCAGUGAAUUGCAUGUUUCCAGGUCGGUAUUACUUUCAACCGUUUUGAAAGAACGGUCCUCUGUUUCUGAUGUUUAUGUAAUGUACCGUCAUAUAUUUUAGUACUCUUUCCGUAUUUUUUUAAUUAUCAUAUUUGGUUUGUACCCGUUAAAAUGAUCAAAGUUGAUUAAAUUUAUUAAUAUUUUAUCAAUUGAUAAAAUUAAAAAUAUGUCUCCGAAAAAAACUUUUAAUCUACCUUAGAGUGUAAUUUUCAGUUUUUUAAAAUAAUAAAAGAGUGGCUUAUAAUCUUUGGUAAAAAAUUAGUCAAUUUGACUAACAAAAAUUAAAAUGUGACAAUUAAAAAGAGACGGAGUGAGUAAUGUUUAUGAAAAUUUUAAAAUAUGAUUUCUAACUAAUAAUAAAUGUUUCUUAUAUUUUAAGUUACAUAUUAAUCUUGUUCAUAAUCUUUAUUUAAAAAUUUCAAAUUUCUAAUCACAAACUAUUUACUUGGAUGAUUUGUAACUUCCCGAUAAGCAAAGACACAAUGCAAUUUUAUUGACACAUACCGCAUCUGCGCUUUGGGAGGACUAUGACUUAUGACUCGUCUUUCCUUCCGUUUGGUUCAAAAAGACUAUUCCAUUAUAAAAGUUUCCAGAGAAUUGACUUUUCCUAUUAAGUAAUGAAUGAAUUGAAAUGACCUAAUCGAUGAUGACUCUUCGCAUUUUAUGCAAGUAAAUAUACUGUAGUCAAAUUAUAAUUUACAUGCAUUUUAGAAACUCAACCCCUAUUUAUACAACUGCUAAAUCAUCGUCAAAGUUCGACCUGGCUCACAGGGGUGGCAAUUUCGAGUAAGGGGUUGUGUUUGAGUCAGCAAUCGGGUUGAUUUCAGGUCAAAUUAAAAUCACUUAAAAUUAAAUAAAACUGAAAAUUGAAAUUAUUAGGAACGAAAUUCUAAUUUGGGGUCCAUUUCGUGUGAAUCAGAUGAUUUUCGGAUCACUUUUGGGUUUUGUCUCAGUAAAUCGGGUUGCGGAUUCGGGUCGAGUUCGAAUCGGCCUCGGGCCCUGUCUGAUAUCGUCACCCCUACAUUGACCAGGAAAUAUUACCUAUUUAAUAUAUUCAUCAAAUACUUUCUCUAAUAUAUAUUACAUAGAAUAUUUGGGGGUUUUCACGUUAUUUCAAUAAAUUUUACUCUAUAGUUAAACUAAUUUGCUUCUCUUAAGAAAAUUUUGAUGAGAAAUAUGUAUUUUAAUCUCACAGUGAGAAUAUCCCAAAUUCGUGAAAAAUUUAAAUUGGAAAAUUUUCUUUAAAAUGUUUGGAAAUCCUAACAAACAUGCAAUCGAAAGCAUUCAAUAGUAUUAAAAGGUAGGAAUUUGUCUUGAUUAGUGAAUACACAAAAUAAAGAUCGGUUCGAUUGAUCAGAAAUUAAUCAGAUAAUCAGUUAAAAUAACUAAAAAUUUAAUAUUUUAGCAUGUUAUAAAAUAAAAAAUAAUCGAUGAUUAAUAACGAUAAUUACUGAAUUUUAGAACAAUAAUGAAUAAGCCUUUUGAAACAUGUGACACCAAAAAGAAUUCAAAUAUUUAAGGGCCCAUUUGUUAACGGGUUAACGAAACAACCUCAACUGGAUGAGCGCAGAAUAUGUCAUUAAGUUUGUUUGACAAAUUUUUUAAAUAGCUGGACGAACCAUAAAUCAACUGGACGAAACACCUCAAAAAUAUGAGGGUCUCUCGUCCAGGAGUCUACACUCUCCUAUUAUUCUCUUUACUGCUUUCAUGUUGGAUAACUAUGCAUGUUAUAUUUUGAUUUUUAAUAAUAUAAUAAUCUUUUAAAUAGAAAUUUUCGUCUUAUAAUUAAAUUAUUUUAAUCAUGUGCACUAUCAUUAAUAGGUCUAUAAUUAUAUAUGAUAGAAUACUCGAUUACACAAUAAUCAAAUAAUUAUAAAUAAUUGUAAGGAUUAAAUAUAUAUACAAUAUAAUAAUAAUAAUAAUAAUAAUUGAUAUAUUAUCUUCAUUUAUAAUAAAAAAUUAAAACUCAAGAAUUAUUAAUUUAAUAAUCAAAAUAGCAAAAUCUAUUGUAUGGGCUAAUGGAGGGUUUUUAGAAAUACCAACACUAAUAAUAAUAGAAAUAUUGUUCAGAAGAAUCUAAUAAUUUAACAAACAACAUUGUUCGUGCAGUAUUCAGAUUUAUUAAUCAUUCAGAAUCUUGAUGAUCCAGAAAAAUUUGUUCAGAUUUAACAAAUGACCCCUAAGUCUCCACUAACAAAAACACACCAUGUUAAAUCCUUAUUCCACAAAAUCAAGUAAAACCCAAUUGAACGCAUGUCUUCAGAGUCAAGAAACAACAUGAAUGAUAAAUUUGAUAUAAAAAAAAACAUGAAUGAUAAAUUAGUAAUCAACCCAAAACAUUAAAUUUGGUAAAUUAACCAAAACCUAUAUUUUAAUACCCAGAACAAAAUAUAUAACAAAAGGCAUGCACGUUUAUAUAACACCAACCAAUAUCUCCAUGUCCACAAAUCCUUCACACCCUCUCCCUAAUUUAAUCUUUCGCCUCUAACACCCCCCAUUCUUCAUCUUAAACCCCCCUCUACCCCCACAAUAUUACUAACAUUUUUCGUGUCUAUAGGCCGGAAAAAAUAAAAAUUCCGAUGCUUAAGAUUUUAUAUUAUUUGACGGAGCAUCCGUUGAUCAUUAAUUUCCGGUGUAGAUAAAUUUUGAUCUGUCAUUUGUUCCCUGACCUACUCACCCUCUUCCCUCUCCUCUCAUCUUCACGACCUAACUUGAGAUGAAAUUAAUUAUUUCCUUAUUAUUGUUCACUUCUUGCAAGUGCCAAAUUCUGAAUCUAUCAAAGAGGAUGUUUUUCUGCGUAUGUUUGUGUAAGUGGUACUCAUACAUCAGUUAUUCUUCCAGGAGUAUAUUUAACAUAGUUGAUGAUGACCCUACCCCAAGAGAAGAAGUUUUUAUGUAUGGCCAAAGUUUGGUUGAGAAAAAAUGGCCGGGUCACACAAGACAAUUAACCUCUCAUGAAAGGGCAGAGUCAUCAUUCUCUAAGGCAAAUGUAAGAGGUGACAAAAGAGUAUCGAAUGCUCGUAUGAAGAAAGAACUAGGAGUACAGCUGCGACAUCCUAGUUAUAGGUCUGGAUUGCAAAGCAUUCUUGAGCAUCUGGGCCUUUCUAUGAACACCCCUGGGUAAUGUCGCAGAAUCUAAAUGUCCUUGAUUGAUUCAAGAC
Molecule: long non-coding RNA, 17916 nt
Filed under: Daucus carota (carrot)
Lineage: Eukaryota; Viridiplantae; Streptophyta; Magnoliopsida; Apiales; Apiaceae
Description: long non-coding RNA (DCAR_LNC005317)
Source: RNAcentral